UCUCCGUUGGUGAACCAGCGGAGGGAUCAUUGAAGAGUUGCAAGACUCCAAACCAUCGCGAACAUACCACAUCGUUGCCUCGGCGGGCGGCUCCAGGGCGGAGCCUCCGGCCCCCUUCGGGGGGUGUCCGCCGAAAGGCCCCAAACACUGCUGAAGCUAGGCUACUCUGAGUACAUGGAUACAGUUAAAACUUUCAACAAUGGAUCUCUUGGCUCUGGCAUCGAUGAAGAACGCAGC
Molecule: unclassified non-coding RNA, 237 nt
Filed under: uncultured fungus
Lineage: Eukaryota; Fungi
Description: sequence contains ITS1, 5.8S rRNA gene
Rfam family: 5.8S ribosomal RNA (bases 189-237)
Source: RNAcentral